Molecule: ribosomal RNA, 279 nt
Filed under: uncultured bacterium
Lineage: Bacteria
Description: partial 16S ribosomal RNA
Rfam family: Bacterial small subunit ribosomal RNA
Source: RNAcentral
UGCCAGCCGCCGCGGUAAGACGGAGGGUGCGAGCGUUAAUCGGAAUUACUGGGCGUAAAGCGAGUGCAGGCGGCUACGUCAGUCGGAUGUGAAAGCCCCGGGCUUAACCUGGGAAUGGCAUUCGAUACUGCAUGGCCAGAGUAUGGUAGAGGGAAGUGGAAUUUCCGGUGUAGCGGUGAAAUGCGUAGAUAUCGGAAGGAACACCGGUGGCGAAGGCGACUUCCUGGGCCAAUACUGACGCUGAGGUGCGAAAGCGUGGGGAGCAAACAGGAUUAGAUA